This is a long non-coding RNA of Heterocephalus glaber (naked mole-rat), 703 nucleotides long. The record is from Ensembl. NCBI's taxonomy places the organism in Eukaryota, Metazoa, Chordata, Mammalia, Rodentia, Bathyergidae.
CGUGCUUCCUUCUCUUCCUUCCCCAACCAGGGGAAUUCCUUCUAAUAAAAGUCUACACAGUAACUGGAAGGAAGGAAGGAAGGGAGGGAGGAAGGGAGGCGAGGGAGGAAGGAAGGAAGGAGGGAAGGAAAAAGUGAAAAGAAAGGGGGAGAGGGGAAGAAAAUGAUGAGAACUUUUGAAUGUUUAACAAAAGCAGUUGAAGAGCUACAAACCAGACAUUAAGCCUAAGUACCAGAGAGGAGAGAAUUGUGGAAGGAGGCAGGGUAUGUGGAAGAUGCAUGAACAAAAAGAAUUUCCUCACAAAUCUACAGAGAUUCACCAGGGAGAGGAUGGGAGGCAACAGUCUCAGAGUACUGCCACAAAAGCAAGAUACUUUUACUCUGCCGUCUGCUAUAACCUCUUCAGUUCAGCCCUUAUGGGACUUGAAAAGGAUGAGAGAGCGCUGUGAGAAGUGGAAAACUGUGUCCCGGCAGCCAUAGGAAACAAAUAUACUUUUGGAAUCAUCAUCAUGGAUCCAAAGUUUUCUCCAAGCCACCCUCCUGAGAGGUCUGGAAGCAGUGAUUGCAGAUUGACAUGUUUCCAAUAUUGUAGGAAGUUUUCUACCUAAAGAGUGAAUGGGGUGGCUUUUCUGAGUCAGCAGCCAGAUUGUGAAUCAGACUGUGGCUAAAUCCCCAGAGGAAAAAGGAGGCUCAUUCCUUUGGAG